Molecule: transfer RNA, 76 nt
Filed under: Serratia marcescens
Lineage: Bacteria; Pseudomonadati; Pseudomonadota; Gammaproteobacteria; Enterobacterales; Yersiniaceae
Description: tRNA-Lys
Rfam family: tRNA
About the family: Transfer RNA (tRNA) molecules are approximately 80 nucleotides in length. Their secondary structure includes four short double-helical elements and three loops (D, anti-codon, and T loops).
Source: RNAcentral
GGGUCGUUAGCUCAGUCGGUAGAGCCGUUGAAGCUUAAUCAAUGGGGCACAGGUUCGAACCCUGUACCACCCACCA